Molecule: ribosomal RNA, 486 nt
Filed under: uncultured bacterium
Lineage: Bacteria
Description: bacterial SSU rRNA
Rfam family: Bacterial small subunit ribosomal RNA
Source: RNAcentral
AUUGAACGCUGGCGGCAUGCCUUACACAUGCAAGUCGAACGGCAGCACGGGAGCAAUCCUGGUGGCGAGUGGCGAACGGGUGAGUAAUAUAUCGGAACGUGCCCAGUCGUGGGGGAUAACGUAGCGAAAGCUACGCUAAUACCGCAUACGAUCUAAGGAUGAAAGCGGGGGAUUCGCAAGAACCUCGCGCGAUUGGAGCGGCUGAUAUCAGAUUAGGUUGUUGGUGAGGUAAAAGCUCACCAAGCCGACGAUCUGUAGCUGGUUUGAGAGAACGACCAGCCACACUGGGACUGAGACACGGCCCAGACUCCUACGGGAGGCAGCAGUGGGGAAUUUUGGACAAUGGGCGAAAGCCUGAUCCAGCAAUGCCGCGUGCAGGAAGAAGGCCUUCGGGUUGUAAACUGCUUUUGUACGGAACGAAAAGGCUCUUUCUAAUAAAGAGGGCCCAUGACGGUACCGUAAGAAUAAGCACCGGCUAACUACGUG